This is a long non-coding RNA of Macadamia integrifolia, 951 nucleotides long. RefSeq lists it as uncharacterized. NCBI's taxonomy places the organism in Eukaryota, Viridiplantae, Streptophyta, Magnoliopsida, Proteales, Proteaceae. The transcript has 7 exons. The record is from RefSeq and is a predicted model, not a curated record.
CUCUUGCGAGCCCAAAUUUUUAGGAUAUGGACUUCUCUCAAAGUCUCUCAAGCUCAUGGUUCAUGGACACCUGAGAACGCAGUCUCCUGCUGCAAUCUCUCUCACUUCCCUAGUUCUCUUCCUCUUCACUCUCCUGCUACAAUCUACUCCCUCAUCGCUCUUUGCCCACUCUCUUGCUAAAAUUUUUCUUAAAAUCUCCAAGUGCCAGGUCUAAAGAAAAUCGUUUGAAGGGGAAGUGGUUUCUAGGUUUUUGGAUUUUGCAGAGCGGAUUAACCGGCAAGCCUUUGCAGAUCCAAGAAAAUAGAGAGACUCUUAUAGUCCUCGUUGAUGCGUGUGGAGGUGUUUUUCAUACAUCAUCCCUCUUUUCUUAUGCAACCAAGGAUAUCCACAGAUCCAAAGCUUUGCAAGGAGUCUAAGCUCUGGUAUGAACUUUCAAAGACCUUGGCUGGGGAAUCUGCCUAGAAAUUUGCAAAAGAGAAAGGGAUGGACAUGGUUACAAUAAAUCCAGCAAUGGUGAUAGGUCCUCUUUUACAGCCAACCCUUAAUACCAGUGCUGAAGCAAUUUGGAACUUAAUAAAUGGAGCACAAACAUUUGGCAAUGAAACAUAUGAAUGGGUUAACGUCAAAGAUGUUGUUGAUGCUCAUAUUCUAGCAUUUGAGACUCCUUCAGCCAAUGGAAGAUAUAUAAUAGUCGAGAGAUUGCUCAUUAUUCACAGAUUGUAAAACUUCGCGUGAACAUCCAACUUUGCCCCUUCCAGAAAAGUACUUGCAUGGAUUUUGUCUUCUACUUAUCGACUUGAGGAUUGACCUAGCUACCAUGACUUGUGAACUUUUAUUUUGAAAAACUUAUUAUGUUACUAUGUUACUGUGGAUAUGGGAUUUUUUUGUCUCCAUGAUGACAAUAUGGUUUAUUUUGUUCCAAUUGAACUUUUGUAUGGAAUGGAUAGCCAU